Molecule: ribosomal RNA, 589 nt
Filed under: Trichoderma longibrachiatum
Lineage: Eukaryota; Fungi; Ascomycota; Sordariomycetes; Hypocreales; Hypocreaceae
Description: eukaryotic LSU rRNA
Rfam family: 5.8S ribosomal RNA (bases 226-382)
Source: RNAcentral
AACCUUUUGAGAUCACUCCAAACCCCAAUGUGACGUUACCAUCUGUUGCCUCGGCGGGAUUCUCUUGCCCCGGGCGCGUCGCAGCCCCGGAUCCCAUGGCGCCCGCCGGAGGACCAACUCCAAACUCUUUUUUUCUCUCCGUCGCGGCUCCCGUCGCGGCUCUGUUUUAUUUUUGCUCUGAGCCUUUCUCGGCGACCCUAGCGGGGCGUCUCGAAAAUGAAUCAAAACUUUCAACAACGGAUCUCUUGGUUCUGGCAUCGAUGAAGAACGCAGCGAAAUGCGAUAAGUAAUGUGAAUUGCAGAAUUCAGUGAAUCAUCGAAUCUUUGAACGCACAUUGCGCCCCGCCCAGUAUUUCUGGCGGGCAUGCCUGUCCGAGCGUCAUUUCAACCUCGAACCCCUCCGGGGGUCGGCGUUGGGGUCGGCCCUCACCGGGCCGCCCCCGAAAUACAGUGGCGGUCUCGCGCAGCUCUCCUUGCGCAGUAUUUGCACACUCGCACGGGAGCGCGCGCGCCACAGCGGUAAACACCAACUCUGGAAUGUGAACUCGAUCAGUAGAUACCGCUGACUUAGCAUAUCAUAAGCGGAGAA